Molecule: long non-coding RNA, 308 nt
Organism: Hirundo rustica (Barn swallow)
Lineage: Eukaryota; Metazoa; Chordata; Aves; Passeriformes; Hirundinidae
Exons: 2
Source: RefSeq, a predicted model, not a curated record
UGUGCUGUGAGGAGGAAGGGCUAGGAGGUUGUGCAAGGGACAGACUGGGUUAGGUGGCUGUGCGAGGGACAGGAAGGAGUGGUCUGGAAAUGCAGAAGGAAGGCAGAAGAAGGAGAGAAAGAGCCAGAGCUGUGUGGAGCUGCUUAUGGGGCUGCAACACAGAAAAGGAAAGAGCAUUGAGUCUGCUGGGACUAAUUGUGUCAGCAGGAGCCCCCUCAAACCCACAGCUGACAAGAGCAUAAAAAUAAUACCUUAAAGGGGCUGCUUUGGUCUUGGGUAGCUGGAAGUAUCUAUUUGUCCAUUUUAAA